AAUUUUUAAUAAUAAAAUAUUAAUAUAUUUUUAUUAAUAUAAAAAUAUAAAAAUUAAUUAGAAAAUUUAUUAUUUUAUUUUAUUUUUGUCAAAAGAUGUGUCUAUUUGUACUUAAACAGAAAGUUGUGAGUUAAUUGGGACAAACUUAAAAAUAGGUUUAUUUACAUGUGGACUAAAAGCUCAGGGACAAAAUUUGAGCUUUCUUCCAAUUUUUUUUGAUUAAGUUUUGACAUAGUAUGUAAAAUGUUUAAUCUCUUGAAAAUGGAUUUAGUAGUCUGUUAAAUGAUUUAAUCUCUUAACAAGGGAUUUAUUUUCCCUUCAGUCCAGAAAAUGCUUUCUGUAAAACAAGAGUUGCCUUAGUUUGAGUAUUCUUUUUUCACAAGGGCUAUAAUUUUAAUUUUGGAAUGCACCCGUCAAGAAGAAAGCACAUUCGAGAAAAUGGAAGGUUGUAAAAGACUAAAAGUUGGCUGCCAUUGUAGUUGUAGAUUUUGCAUGCAAUAGUUAAAUAAAAGAAUUCUUCCCUUAACCUCUUCUGUGAAUAGGAAAGAAACACAUUAUGUAAUGGAAGAGUAUCAAUGGGGAUUAUUUGGGAUUGGGAUAACCACACCCAAGUCCUUAUAUAUAUGGUUCAGUUCAAUAACAUCGGACAAAUGCCAUAAUGUGUGCAAUUUUCGACCGAGCUGAUUGUGUUGCUUGUGGUUUUGCAGG
Molecule: unclassified non-coding RNA, 708 nt
Filed under: Hevea brasiliensis (rubber tree)
Lineage: Eukaryota; Viridiplantae; Streptophyta; Magnoliopsida; Malpighiales; Euphorbiaceae
Source: RNAcentral